Molecule: non-coding RNA, 80 nt
Filed under: Pseudoprimorskyibacter insulae
Lineage: Bacteria; Pseudomonadati; Pseudomonadota; Alphaproteobacteria; Rhodobacterales; Paracoccaceae
Description: Primorskyibacter insulae SorY
Rfam family: Singlet oxygen resistance RNA X (bases 8-78)
About the family: SorX (RSs2461)like SorY is a singlet oxygen induced sRNA that counteracts oxidative stress by targeting mRNA for a transporter in Rhodobacter. It also has an impact on resistance against organic hydroperoxides. It targets SD sequence of potA mRNA via an aSD sequence.
Source: RNAcentral
ACGAUGAAACGCGCAUUUGCGCAUCAUCUUCAUACCUCCCUGUUGGACUUCGGCCGAGCUUUGUGCUCGGCCUUUUUUCU